Populus euphratica (Euphrates poplar) is the source of this 540-nucleotide long non-coding RNA. RefSeq lists it as uncharacterized. The record is from RefSeq and is a predicted model, not a curated record. The transcript has 2 exons. NCBI's taxonomy places the organism in Eukaryota, Viridiplantae, Streptophyta, Magnoliopsida, Malpighiales, Salicaceae.
UCACUUUUUUAUGUUUUUGUUUCUUUAAAUUUGGAUGCAAAAAGUGUUUGUUUAUUUCGUUUCCAUGAAGUUUGGAGGAUUCAUUUUGUGGAGAGACUUUGGUGCUUCAGUGGGUUUUUGUGUGUUAAUGUGGCUAUGAUGAAAAGAGUGUUUUUUUUUUUAAUUGAAUUGAGCUGCAUGAUUUUGAGGGUAAAGGUAACUGUUUUGGUGAUCUUCAUGGUAUAUUUAGAGGGUUUUGGAGUAUUUUUUAUUUUUUAAUAUUUGAUGGAAAACAUGAUAAUCGGAGAAACUUCGAAGUUAUUCUUUUGUGUCUUUAACAUGGUGAUUUGAUUGAAAAUAGGUUAAGCUUCUUUGAAAACGAUUAGAUUCCUAUAAUAGGCUUAGGCUUACUGAUAAAGACUCAAUAUUGCUGAAUUCGAAACAUGGUUAUCUUUUCCUUUUCUCUUGAUGGCUCUGCAUUUUCAUGUAUUUGUGAUUGAUGUAACAAUCGGAGAUUGAUUUACAAUAUUGAGAAGCUGAAAAGCCAGUAAAUUUUCUGUU